AUGACCAAGGACGGAGAUAUUUGUUUAAUUUUCUAAGGAGGACUGGACUGGAAGGACGAAUUUAAUUAAGAUAUAGUAAGUUAAAGUGAGACAGCAGAUGGCAGUAAUGCAACACUAUGGAUGCCAACUGCCGUAAAACUCCUAUGAAGAAGAAGACAAACAUCACUAUUGUGAUGUACAUUUGUGUUAGGGACUGUUGACUGUGGAAUUGUUACACUGGAGAAAUGGAUGUGUCAAGUCUUUCCAAGGGGACAAAGAAAUCGAAGUUAAGAAUCGAAAAGGAGUCAUCAAAACAGUACCAGAAGCAGAAUGUAUCUGUUAAAUUGAAAUGUCUGUCAAAUGCCAACACCAAACUGAAAAUAAAUCAAAAUGAACAAGGAAA
Long non-coding RNA from Sinocyclocheilus anshuiensis, 382 nucleotides. RefSeq lists it as uncharacterized. The record is from RefSeq and is a predicted model, not a curated record. Lineage: Eukaryota; Metazoa; Chordata; Actinopteri; Cypriniformes; Cyprinidae. The transcript is spliced from 2 exons.